AACGAACGCUGGCGGCAGGCUUAACACAUGCAAGUCGAACGCCCCGCAAGGGGAGUGGCAGACGGGUGAGUAACGCGUGGGAACGUACCUUUCAGUUCGGAAUAACUCAGGGAAACUUGUGCUAAUACCGGAUACGCCCGCAAGGGGAAAGAUUUAUCGCUGAAAGAUCGGCCCGCGUUGGAUUAGCUAGUUGGUGGGGUAAAGGCCUACCAAGGCGACGAUCCAUAGCUGGUCUGAGAGGAUGAUCAGCCACACUGGGACUGAGACACGGCCCAGACUCCUACGGGAGGCAGCAGUGGGGAAUAUUGGACAAUGGGCGCAAGCCUGAUCCAGCCAUGCCGCGUGUGUGAUGAAGGCCUUAGGGUUGUAAAGCACUUUCACCGAUGAAGAUAAUGACG
RNAcentral lists this ribosomal RNA (398 nucleotides) under uncultured bacterium. RNAcentral's name for it is "bacterial SSU rRNA". It matches the Rfam family "Bacterial small subunit ribosomal RNA", at positions 29 to 456 of the family's 1533-position model. The record is from RNAcentral.